CGGACGGGUGAGUAACGCGUGGGUAACCUGCCUUGUACUGGGGGACAACAGUUGGAAACGACUGCUAAUACCGCAUAAGCGCACAGCUUCGCAUGGAGCAGUGUGAAAAACUCCGGUGGUACAAGAUGGACCCGCGUCUGAUUAGCUGGUUGGUGAGGUAACGGCCCACCAAGGCAACGAUCAGUAGCCGGCCUGAGAGGGUGAACGGCCACAUUGGGACUGAGACACGGCCCAA
This 235-nucleotide ribosomal RNA is filed under the name uncultured bacterium. RNAcentral's name for it is "partial 16S ribosomal RNA". It matches the Rfam family "Bacterial small subunit ribosomal RNA", at positions 99 to 334 of the family's 1533-position model. The record is from RNAcentral.